GGAGAAGCUUGCUUUUCCGCUGACGACCGGCGCACGGGUGCGUAACGCGUAUACAAUCUGCCUUAUACUGGGGUAUAGCCUUUAGAAAUGAAGAUUAAUCCCCCAUAGUCUCUUAGAGUGGCAUCAUUUUAGGAGUAAAGGUUACGGUAUAAGAUGAGUAUGCGUUCUAUUAGUUUGUUGGUGAGGUAACGGCUCACCAAGGCUACGAUAGAUAGGGGCCCUGAGAGGGGGAUCCCCCACACUGGUACUGAGACACGGACCAGACUCCUACGGGAGGCAGCAGUGAGGAAUAUUGGACAAUGGAGGCAACUCUGAUCCAGCCAUGCCGCGUGCAGGAAGACUGCCCUAUGGGUUGUAAACUGCUUUUAUAUAGGAAGAAACCUACUUACGUGUAAGUAGCUGACGGUACUAUAAGAAUAAGGAUCGGCUAACUCCGUGCCAGCAGCCGCGGUAAU
RNAcentral lists this ribosomal RNA (455 nucleotides) under uncultured Bacteroidota bacterium. RNAcentral's name for it is "bacterial SSU rRNA". It matches the Rfam family "Bacterial small subunit ribosomal RNA", at positions 72 to 524 of the family's 1533-position model. Lineage: Bacteria; Pseudomonadati; Bacteroidota. The record is from RNAcentral.